Long non-coding RNA from Lathyrus oleraceus (garden pea), 461 nucleotides. RefSeq lists it as uncharacterized. The transcript is spliced from 2 exons. The record is from RefSeq and is a predicted model, not a curated record. Lineage: Eukaryota; Viridiplantae; Streptophyta; Magnoliopsida; Fabales; Fabaceae.
GGAUUAUGAAGAUUCAAGGCUCUGAGUUUGAGAAGAUAAUAAGGGAGAGUUUUGAAGUGUGCGAGGUUUUGUGUAAAUUCGUGAAUGAAUCGUGAUUCCCUAAAUAAUUGGAGAAUAAUGAAUACAUAGGGGAUUCAAAGUUAACCAGGCCCAAGAUGGUCAUGGCAAGGCAAGGCAAAAGGAUGCAUGUGGAGACCCAUGGAAGUGCAAUGACAUGGUGGGCUGCCAAGUUCAAUCAAUGCUUCCUCUCUUUUUACUUUUGAUCAAAUGUAUUAUAACAAUGUAGCAUGAUGUAAUAGAAUUAGGAAAUGGAUUUAUGUAAAAUGAUUCAUGCAAUGUUAAUGCUUAUGUAAUGAAAUGCUUAUAGAUAAACUUAUGUGAUCAUGAUUCAAUGUAAUAAGAACGCUCAUGGAAUGAUCAUGGUUCACGCUUGUAAAUGAAAAAGCUUACUUAUGAUUCAA